Molecule: ribosomal RNA, 503 nt
Filed under: uncultured Actinomycetes bacterium
Lineage: Bacteria; Bacillati; Actinomycetota; Actinomycetes
Description: bacterial SSU rRNA
Rfam family: Bacterial small subunit ribosomal RNA
Source: RNAcentral
GGAUGAGCCCGCGGCCUAUCAGCUUGUUGGUGAGGUAAUGGCUCACCAAGGCGACGACGGGUAGCCGGCCUGAGAGGGCGACCGGCCACACUGGGACUGAGACACGGCCCAGACUCCUACGGGAGGCAGCAGUGGGGAAUAUUGCACAAUGGGCGAAAGCCUAAUGCAGCGACGCCGCGUGAGGGAUGACGGCCUUCGGGUUGUAAACCUCUUUCAGCAGGGAAGAAGCGAAAGUGACGGUACCUGCAGAAGAAGCGCCGGCUAACUACGUGCCAGCAGCCGCGGUAAUACGUAGGGCGCAAGCGUUGUCCGGAAUUAUUGGGCGUAAAGAGCUCGUAGGCGGUCUGUCGCGUCGGAUGUGAAAGCCCCGGGGCUUAACCCCCGGGUCUGCAUUCGAUACGGGCAGACUAGAGUGUGGUAGGGGAGAUCGGAAUUCCUGGUGUAGCGGUGAAAUGCGCAGAUAUCAGGAAGGAACACCGGUGGCGAAGGCGGAUCUCUGGGCC